GACGAACGCUGGCGGCGUGCUUAACACAUGCAAGUCGAACGGAAAGGCCCUGCUUUUGUGGGGUUCUCGGGUGGCGAACGGGUGAGUAACACGUGAGUAACCUGCCCUUGACUUUGGGAUAACUUCAGGAAACUGGGGCUAAUACCGGAUAGGAGCUCCUGCUGCAUGGUGGGGGUUGGAACGUUUCGGCGGUUGGGGAUGGACUCGCGGCUUAUCGGCUUGUUGGUGGGGGAGUGGCUUACCAAGGCUUUGACGGGUAGCCGGCCUGAGAGGGUGACCGGCCACAUUGGGACUGAGAUACGGCCCAGACUCCUACGGGAGGCAGCAGGGGGGAAUAUUGCACAAUGGGCGGAAGCCUGAUGCAGCAACGCCGCGUGCGGGAUGACGGCCUUCGGGUUGUAAACCGCUUUCGCCUGUGACGAAGCGUGAGUGACGGUAAUGGGUAAAGAAGCACCGGCUAACUACGUG
Molecule: ribosomal RNA, 468 nt
Filed under: uncultured bacterium
Lineage: Bacteria
Description: partial 16S ribosomal RNA
Rfam family: Bacterial small subunit ribosomal RNA
Source: RNAcentral